Molecule: unclassified non-coding RNA, 285 nt
Filed under: plant metagenome
Description: partial contains small subunit ribosomal RNA, internal transcribed spacer 1, and 5.8S ribosomal RNA
Rfam family: Eukaryotic small subunit ribosomal RNA (bases 1-54)
Source: RNAcentral
GGGAGUAAAAGUCGUAACAAGGUAUCCGUAGGUGAACCUGCGGAAGGAUCAUUAUUGUAUAACCGAGGUGCGAGGGCUGUCGCUGACCCGAAAGGUCGUGCACGCCCGAGUGCCCUCACACACAUCCAUCUCACCCCUAUGUGCACCACCGCGUGGGUCCCCCUUUGGCUUGUUCGGAGGGGGGCUUACGUUUUCACACAAACUUUGUAUGCAGUGUAGAAUGUAUUUUUUGUUUUUGCGAUCACGCAAUCAAUACAACUUUCAACAACGGAUCUCUUGGCUCUC